RNAcentral lists this long non-coding RNA (340 nucleotides) under Rattus norvegicus (Norway rat). RNAcentral's name for it is "long non-coding RNA NONRATT033427". The record is from RNAcentral. Lineage: Eukaryota; Metazoa; Chordata; Mammalia; Rodentia; Muridae.
CCUCGCCACAGUUCCUGGACACACUGACUCUAACCAUGGAAUGGAGAUGGGUCUUUCUCUUCCUCCUGUCAGUAGCUGCAGGUGUCUACUCCCAAGUUAAGCUGCAGCAGUCUGGGGCUGAGUUGGUAAAGCCUGGUGCUUCAGUGAAGUUGUCCUGCAAGACUUCUGGUUACACCUUCAGCACUAGCUAUAUGAGUUGGUUCAAGCAGAUUCCUGGACAGAGUAUUGAGUGGAUUGGAAUGAUUUAUGCUGGAGAUGGUGGUACUGACAUGUUUCUGAAUCAUUAAAACAAUAAAAAGAGAAAACCACGAUGAUGUAUGAUAAAAUAUUAUAUAUUCUG